RNAcentral lists this ribosomal RNA (1370 nucleotides) under bacterium NLAE-zl-G281. RNAcentral describes it as "bacterial SSU rRNA". It matches the Rfam family "Bacterial small subunit ribosomal RNA", at positions 69 to 1444 of the family's 1533-position model. The record is from RNAcentral.
UUUCAGUUUGCUUGCAAACUGGAGAUGGCGACCGGCGCACGGGUGAGUAACACGUAUCCAACCUGCCGAUAACUCGGGGAUAGCCUUUCGAAAGAAAGAUUAAUACCCGAUGGUAUAAUNANACCGCAUGGUCUUGUUAUUAAAGAAUUUCGGUUAUCGAUGGGGAUGCGUUCCAUUAGGCAGUUGGUGAGGUAACGGCUCACCAAACCUUCGAUGGAUAGGGGUUCUGAGAGGAAGGUCCCCCACAUUGGAACUGAGACACGGUCCAAACNNNNNNGGGAGGCAGCAGUGAGGAAUAUUGGUCAAUGGGCGCAGGCCUGAACCAGCCAAGUAGCGUGAAGGAUGACUGCCCUAUGGGUUGUAAACUUCUUUUAUAUGGGAAUAAAGUUUUCCACGUGUGGAAUUUUGUAUGUACCAUAUGAAUAAGGAUCGGCUAACUCCGUGCCAGCAGCCGCGGUAAUACGGAGGAUCCGAGCGUUAUCCGGAUUUAUUGGGUUUAAAGGGAGCGUAGGUGGACAGUUAAGUCAGUUGUGAAAGUUUGCGGCUCAACCGUAAAAUUGCAGUUGAUACUGGCUGUCUUGAGUACAGUAGAGGUGGGCGGAAUUCGUGGUGUAGCGGUGAAAUGCUUAGAUAUCACGAAGAACUCCGAUUGCGAAGGCAGCUCACUGGACUGCAACUGACACUGAUGCUCGAAAGUGUGGGUAUCAAACAGGAUUAGAUACCCUGGUAGUCCACACAGUAAACGAUGAAUACUCGCUGUUUGCGAUAUACAGUAAGCGGCCAAGCGAAAGCAUUAAGUAUUCCACCUGGGGAGUACGCCGGCAACGGUGAAACUCAAAGGAAUUGACGGGGGCCCGCACAAGCGGAGGAACAUGUGGUUUAAUUCGAUGAUACGCGAGGAACCUUACCCGGGCUUAAAUUGCAUUUGAAUAUAUUGGAAACAGUAUAGCCGUAAGGCAAAUGUGAAGGUGCUGCAUGGUUGUCGUCAGCUCGUGCCGUGAGGUGUCGGCUUAAGUGCCAUAACGAGCGCAACCCUUAUCUUUAGUUACUAACAGGUCAUGCUGAGGACUCUAGAGAGACUGCCGUCGUAAGAUGUGAGGAAGGUGGGGAUGACGUCAAAUCAGCACGGCCCUUACGUCCGGGGCUACACACGUGUUACAAUGGGGGGUACAGAAGGCAGCUACCUGGUGACAGGAUGCUAAUCCCAAAAGCCUCUCUCAGUUCGGAUCGAAGUCUGCAACCCGACUUCGUGAAGCUGGAUUCGCUAGUAAUCGCGCAUCAGCCAUGGCGCGGUGAAUACGUUCCCGGGCCUUGUACACACCGCCCGUCAAGCCAUGAAAGCCGGGGGUACCUGAAGUACGUAACCGCAA